GGGAACUCAAAGGAGACUGCCGGUGAUAAACCGGAGGAAGGUGGGGAUGACGUCAAGUCAUCAUGGCCCUUACGAGUAGGGCUACACACGUGCUACAAUGGCAUAUACAAAGAGAAGCGAACUCGCGAGAGCAAGCGGACCUCAUAAAGUAUGUCGUAGUCCGGAUCGGAGUCUGCAACUCGACUCCGUGAAGUCGGAAUCGCUAGUAAUCGUAGAUCAGAAUGCUACGGUGAAUACGUUCCCGGGCCUUGUACACACCGCCCGUCACACCAUGGGAGUGGGUUGCAAAAGAAGUAGGUAGCUUAACCUUCGGGAGGGCGCUUACCACUUUGUGAUUCAUGACUGGGGUGAAGUCGUAACAAGGUAACCGUAGGGGAACCUGCGGUUGGAUCACCUCCUUA
Molecule: ribosomal RNA, 401 nt
Filed under: Serratia fonticola
Lineage: Bacteria; Pseudomonadati; Pseudomonadota; Gammaproteobacteria; Enterobacterales; Yersiniaceae
Also listed under: 2 other names
Description: bacterial SSU rRNA
Rfam family: Bacterial small subunit ribosomal RNA
Source: RNAcentral